CGUGCCUAAUACAUGCAAGUCGAACGGUCUUUCUAUGGAAGCUUGCUUCCACUGAGAAGAUAGUGGCGAACGGGUGAGUAACACGUGGGUAACCUGCCCAUAAGAGGGUGAUAACAUCCGGAAACGGGUGCUAAUACCGCAUAGUUUUCUUGAUCGCAUGAUCGGGAAAGGAAAGACGGCCUUUGUGCUGUCGCUUAUGGAUGGACCCGCGGCGUAUUAGUUAGUUGGUGAGGUAACGGCUCACCAAGACGAUGAUACGUAGCCGACCUGAGAGGGUGAUCGGCCACAUUGGGACUGAGACACGGCCCAAACUCCUACGGGAGGCAGCAGUAGGGAAUCUUCCGCAAUGGACGAAAGUCUGACGGAGCAACGCCGCGUGAGUGAAGAAAAGGUUUUCGGAUCGUAAAACUCUGUUGUCAGAGAAGAACAAGUUGGAGAGUAACUGCUCCAGCCUUGACGGUAUCUGACCAGAAAGCCACGGCUAACUACGUGCCAGCCGCUGC
Molecule: ribosomal RNA, 503 nt
Filed under: uncultured bacterium
Lineage: Bacteria
Description: bacterial SSU rRNA
Rfam family: Bacterial small subunit ribosomal RNA
Source: RNAcentral